GAUGAACGCUGGCGGCGUGCCUAAUACAUGCAAGUCGAGCGAACCACUUCGGUGGUGAGCGGCGAACGGGUGAGUAACACGUAGGUGAUCUGCCCAUCAGACGGGGACAACGAUUGGAAACGAUCGCUAAUACCGGAUAGGACGAAAGUUUAAAGGUGCUUCCGGCACCGCUGAUGGAUGAGCCUGCGGCGCAUUAGCUAGUUGGUAGGGUAAAGGCCUACCAAGGCGACGAUGCGUAGCCGACCUGAGAGGGUGAACGGCCACACUGGGACUGAGACACGGCCCAGACUCCUACGGGAGGCAGCAGUAGGGAAUCUUCGGCAAUGGGCGAAAGCCUGACCGAGCAACGCCGCGUGGAUGAUGAAGGCCUUCGGGUUGUAAAAUUCUGUUAUAAGGGAAGAACGACUUUAGUAGGAAAUGGCUAGAGUGUGACGGUACCUUAUGAGAAAGCCACGGCUAACUACGUGCCAGCCGCCGCCGUAA
This 483-nucleotide ribosomal RNA is filed under the name uncultured bacterium. RNAcentral describes it as "partial 16S ribosomal RNA". It matches the Rfam family "Bacterial small subunit ribosomal RNA", at positions 28 to 523 of the family's 1533-position model. The record is from RNAcentral.